AGCGAACGCUGGCGGCAGGCUUAACACAUGCAAGUCGAACGCCCCGCAAGGGGAGUGGCAGACGGGCGACUAACACGUGGGAACGUACCCUUUGGUUCGGAAUAACUUGGGGAAACUCAAGCUAAUACCCGAUAAGCCCUUACGGGGAAAGGGUUACUGCCGAAGGAUCGGCCCGCGUCUGAUUAGCUAGUUGGUGAGGUAAUGGCUCACCAAGGCGACGAUCAGUAGCUGGUCUGAGAGGAUGAUCAGCCACACUGGGACUGAGACACGGCCCAGACUCCUACGGGAGGCAGCAGUGGGGAAUAUUGGACAAUGGGGGCAUCCCUGAUCCAGCCAUGCCGCGUGAGUGAUGAAGGCCUUAGGGUUGUAAAGCUCUUUUACCCGGGACGAUAAUGACUGAACCGGGAGAAUAAGCCCCGGCUAACUUCGUGCCAGCCGCCGCCGUAA
Molecule: ribosomal RNA, 447 nt
Filed under: uncultured bacterium
Lineage: Bacteria
Description: partial 16S ribosomal RNA
Rfam family: Bacterial small subunit ribosomal RNA
Source: RNAcentral